GUGGGGAAUAUUGGACAAUGGGCGAAAGCCUGAUCCAGCCAUGCCGCGUGAGUGAUGAAGGCCUUAGGGUUGUAAAGCUCUUUUGUCCGGGAAGAUAAUGACGGUACCCACAGAAGAAGCCCCGGCUAACUUCGUGCCAGCAGCCGCGGUAAUACGAAGGGGGCUAGCGUUGUUCGGAUUUACUGGGCGUAAAGCGCACGUAGGCGGAUCGUUAAGUCGAGGGUGAAAUCCUGGAGCUCAACUCCAGAACUGCCUUCGAUACUGGCGAUCUUGAGUCCGGAAGAGGUGAGUGGAACUCCUAGUGUAGAGGUGGAAUUCGUAGAUAUUAGGAAGAACACCAGUGGCGAAGGCGGCUCACUGGUCCGGUACUGACGCUGAGGUGCGAAAGCGUGGGGAGCAAACAGGAUUAGAAACCCCGGUAGUCC
This 425-nucleotide ribosomal RNA is filed under the name uncultured bacterium. RNAcentral describes it as "partial 16S ribosomal RNA". It matches the Rfam family "Bacterial small subunit ribosomal RNA", at positions 354 to 796 of the family's 1533-position model. The record is from RNAcentral.